This is a long non-coding RNA of Hippocampus zosterae (dwarf seahorse), 1213 nucleotides long. RefSeq lists it as uncharacterized. The record is from RefSeq and is a predicted model, not a curated record. Lineage: Eukaryota; Metazoa; Chordata; Actinopteri; Syngnathiformes; Syngnathidae. The transcript is spliced from 2 exons.
GCGGUUAAGAAUGGAUGGAGGGAAUUUAACAUGAUGCAAAAAGUACGUAAGAACAAUAAAAUGCAGGCCCCUUUGCUCACAGUAUAUUGCAGGCAUUGGGCAUAAUCCUUGCGUCACCAAAACAUCAGUAAACAAUCAAACCGGCACAUUUGAGUCAUUCACAUUGUGUCGUCGAGUCGAACAAAGCAUUUUCAACACUUUAUAUUGGUCAGGAAUUUGUGAAAAUAACACACGCACACUCUCUCCAAACUCACUCGUCAUCUUGGGAUCAACCGGACUUGCACACUGAUUGCGCCGCAGUUUUGGUGGCCCGUGCCUAGGAAGGAUUUCACAGACUUCAUUGGGGCCUGCUCAGCCUGCGCUUGUGGCAAGACAUCUCGUCAGCCUCCUGCAGGUCUGCUUCGACCACUCCCGGUACCGUCUUACACAUGGUCUCACAUAUCACUCUGUUUGAUAACUGCUCUGUCCACGUCUCAUGGAAAGUCUGUCAUUGUCACUGUGGUGGAUCGAUGCGCACUGCAUUCCACCAACCAAGCUCCUGUCAUCGUUGGAGACCGCCCAACUAUUGAUCAAGCAUGUCUUCCUCAUCCAUGGAAUCCCGGUCGAUUCCGUCUCCGACUGGGGUCAAGAGUUCGGCUCACAAAUCUGGAGAAAAUUUUGUAGAGCCAUGGGAGCAACUACCAUCCGCCAAUCAAUGGAGGGACAGAUAGGGCUAAUCAGGACCUGGAGGCUGGCCUUCGCUGUGUCUACAUGGAGCAACCGACGUUGUGGGCUGCCCAUCUGCCAUGGCUCCAGUUGGAGCGGAGGACGUUGCCAUCAGCGAUGCAGCUUUCUUGCAUUUUGUAACCAGCCUCCUGGACUAAUCAAGGACUGCUUUGCGCUCAUGCUGCUGUCAGAUUAUUCGCCUUGCUCUUGUUCUACGUACCAAGUGCAAUUUUCUCGCCAAUCUUGUUUUCCGUUCUUGCCCCAGUCUUUGUUAGUUAUUGUUAUUGUACUAUUUACUUUCUUUUUUCGAGCACGGUCUGUUUUGUGUUUCAUUCGUUAUUGGAUUUACAUGUCCUUUUGACAAGCAAUUUACAUAGUUCGUUUUUACCCCUUGCCUUGUGCAUGCGCAUUUUGUUAUCCAGGGGUUUUCUGGUCCUGCUGGGCAGCGAUCACAUUUGUACUUUGUCAGUCUUGUGACCUUUGUUGUAAAUAAACCUUUUUUUGUCAA